GCAUGAAAAGGCUUAUUAUAAGUGCAUAAACAAACCAGCUGGGCAGGACUCUCCAAGAAAAGCAGCAGAUUCACUGGACGGUCCAGCAUGGCUGGGAACAUGCCAAUCUCUUGGGGGAUGGUUACAGACUAUUUCCUUCCGAAUGUUCUCACUGAAAGACUUCUUGUCUUACAUCUUAAUGAACAAAGUGCCCUGGCUCUCCUGGUGCUAAUGCUGCUGGUAAGUGCUUGGCUGACCCCUCUCCUACUCCUCUCUCUUUGAUGUCUGUCUAAGGAGAGUGCGGCGCCUGCAGACAAUGAAGUGCUAAAACCCAACCAAGCUUUGAAGUACAAUAAAGUGUGUGAAAAUGGAAUCGAUUCGGCAGCCUGAUGACUCAGUAAUGAGGAGUCAAGUCCCACACAGCAGUGUGUCACCUGUCUGAUAUCUUCAUCGCCUUUAUCUGCAUGGAGGGAGCGGAUCCCCCCCAUCACAUGGCCUGGUGAAUAGUCUCUUCCCACCGAAGACCUGAAGGUUAAGCCCCUGAUUGACCUUCACACGUCCCAGCUGUGCAAGUGAAGCUCAUCCAUGCAGCACUAGCAUCUCUGUGGUAGUUGAACUGGUGCCCAUUUGUACCUUGGGGCUCUAGACACAUUUAUACAGGGAGCCACUGGGCAGCUAUGGGAGGAGAAGGGGGGAAUGUCCUGCCCAGGGAGGAAAGGCCAGGGAGGAAAAUUAGACUUUUAAACUUAUCCCUUACUUUGUUGCCAGGUCUGGUGGAAAAUAAUAUCUACGUAACAGGGAGUCAAAAGCCAGCGUCGGGACACCACAGUCACUAAGAAGGGCCCCUGGUGAGGUAUGGAAGCCAUCCUAAGUGCCCUGCUGUACAGCAGGGUCGUGUCAAUGUUCAUUCUUGGGAGCCAUGCCCUGUCCCAGGUGAUGGGCAGGCAGAGGGGAAUGAAAUAAUCAAAAGAGCACAGGUGCCUCCUGUAAACUUCCCAUGGCAUUCUGGAGCAGGUCCCCCAGCUUAUUUGUCAUCCUAGUGUAUUUACUGCUCUCUAUCUGGCUUCUGCUCACAUUAGACAAGUCACAGCCUCUUGUUUCCCACUCAGCCUCAGCAGAAUGUGUUCAGCAGACCCUGACCUGACAAAAAUAAAAUGUUCAGUCUUUAUCCCUGUUUGCUGAGCCCAGCCCCUGUGCUGUCUCGGCAGCUGUGGCUGUUGCCAGACUGGCAGUGUUUGGGGGCAUCUCUGCAUUUCUUGUCCCAGUUUCUAGAGGGAAAGCUCUAUAAUGGAGCACGAUUUUUCCCAGCUUCACAAGGUCAUUGUGGUCUCUGGAAGAGUUAUUAGCAGAGGUCUGAAUGGGAAAUCAUCAGGAUUGGGAAUAAUAAAUCCCUGAAGAUGUACCAGGGAAUUGUGCUGGCUCAGCUACUCAGGGAGAUGGGGACCUUUCUAAUCUUAGGCUGGGCUCACAUAUUGCUAACUCCCAAGGAGGAUAAGGAGAAUCUGGGUCAUUGGAAAGCUACUUAAGAGCCCUAAUCAUGAAUAAUAAUUGCUUCAGUGCUCUUUGAUUCUGUGGAAAUUAAGGGUAAAGCUCACCCCCAUGCAGAGGUCUAUGCACCACUCAGGUCAUAUUGUGAGGGCUUAAUUGGUGCAUAAGUCUCUGCACAGAGGUGAUUUUACCUUAGAGAGGGAUUCCGGGAUGGGCAACCCAGCCACCCCCAAUCCAACAAGCUAAACUGGAAUCCAAAGCAGUUGAAGUUCCAUUAAUUGAUGGGGUGGUUUCACACAGCUGCCUGAAGACCUGGCAUAUCCACACGCAGCCAAACAACAGAGUGAAUGGCAAAGUGACAGCUUUCCCUGCUGCUGCCAGUUAAGUAGCAGCCUAAGAGAAUGAUUCUGUGUGUGUGUGUGUGUGUGUAUGAGAGAGAGAGAGGUGUGUUUGUGGGGUAGGGAGCACCUGGACAGGCUUUCUGGUUCUUUGAAAGAUGGUGAUGGUGUAGGGUGAAAAAAGCAGUCACUGGGCCCAGCACAAGGGUAACUGAGUGGAAUAGAAUGGCCUGUGUCAGAUGGUGUUUGGUGUUUAGCUCUAUGAAUCUAGGCAGAAUAGCUUCGUUAGGGCUGAGUCUUGCUUUUUGGGGUGCAAAUUCAACUGGGCAUCGCCUGGGUAAUAUUGACAUUCAAGUUUUUGAUCAUUGGAGUGCCUCUCUGCCAGGUGGGAUGAGGGCUCUACGAGUAGGGGAUGAAAACAAACAUGAACACUCGAGAUGAGAUCUCGCUCUAUGGAUGAUUCAUCUUUAGAAGUGACGGGGAGUCAGAGUGCCAGUGCUAGGACCAUGUGCAAUUUCCCACAGAUGAAUGCAGAGGAAGAAAAAAAUCCUUUGUACUGAAAAUCCUCUUCCCUCUCUACUGGUGCCCGAAAAUGCAUCCUGGCCAGCACCUAAGCCAGGACCAUAGACACCCGAGCCCCUGACCCUACAGUCACCACCUCCCUGCAUACAGGCAGGGGAAGACCUGGGGCCGGGUGCUGGGAAUGUGUGCUUCUCAUUCCGCCUGAGGCAGUGUUCAGUCUGAUGCUGCAGCCAUUUGCCUUACUCCCGUCUUCCCUCUGUGGAGUUACACAUACUGGAAUAGCAGGGCCUCCAGGAUGGGUGGUUCCUGCAGCUGGCUGAGGGGUAGCUGACUGGCCCUUGGCAAGCAGUUUGUUUUAUAGCCUGUGUGGCUUCGAGUCUGGGGUGGAGUUAGCUAGGUGUGUCGAUCAGGCCAAACCUGGGUGCAAGUGAAGUUGAUUCGUGACUGGUUGGUCCUUUGGAGUGAUGAUGUGGGUCCCUGGUCUCCCCUAUGCUCCAGCUUUGCUGUUAAAUGGCAAAUCAAGCACCCAUGUGCCAGCUGUACCCGCUGUGCACCAAUCACUGAUCCAGGUGAAGCACACCCUGCACUCCUGUGCACACAGUUGCUGGCUCUGUAUUUAUUUUUCACAGAUUCUUGGCACAGGCUCUGCUUGGCAGCAUUGCCAUGGCUCUGAUAAAUGGCACACUGCAGUCUGCAGCGCCGUGGCAGGCCUGACCUUCUCUCAGUGUAAUUCAAUGUGAUCCAUCCCUCUGAGGGCUAGGGUUAGAUCAGGAAGCACACGAAAGCUUAUGCUUAGAUAAAUGUGUUAGUCUCUAAGGUGCCACAAGUCCUCCUUUUCUUUUUGCAAAUACAGACUAACAUGGCUGCUACUCUGAAACCUGUUAGAUAUGCUUGUUUAUUUAAGAUCCACAGUGCAUUGUGGGAAGGGAUGGAUGGUCACUGGACACAGAGCUUGGCAUCCCCCAGUAGCCAGGACUUGGGGUGUUGGCUUUGACUGGAUGCUAAUCGCUGGGGUGCAUGAGAAACAUCCCUCUGCUUAACUGCGGGUACAAGAUGGGUGCUGGGCAAGCUUCCUCCAACACCGUGCCUGCCCCUUUGCCAAUGUGCCUCUGCUGCAAGUGGGGAAAUGGAGCUGGGGCUGUGUGACCCAUUCAGUCCUUGGCUCUCUCUCUGGUCCCAACGAGUAGGUCGAUUGCCAGGGUGGAUUUCCGGCAUGUGGACACUGUUGGGGGACACUGGACUGGGAUCCAGCAAGAUGUUCUGUGUCUGGCACCAAACAGCCAUUGGUGGAUUUUUCAGGCUCUCCCUGAAAUGCGUUGGAGUCUUUAAAGCAUGUUUAGUUUCCUCCCAAGGCUGGGGGUUUGCUCUACGUGUGCAGGUCAGUUUGGAGGCAUGGGGAGACAGUAAGGGGAUGUCAGAGAAGCAGAGAGGAAUCUACAGAAAACAUGGAUGUGUUUGCCCAGCUUCCCUGCCCAGCCCCAGGGCUUUCCCCGGAAAGUCGCCUGGUGCAAUCCCUUAUGCAGCACCGCUCCCAGCUGCAUGGAGAUGGGGCUGAGUGCGUUAGCAGCAUUGCCCCUACUGCCGAGAGUGGAAGUGGGGAUGGUGCUAUGCACGUGGAAACGUGUCAUUGUGCAGCAAAACGUCUUCAAGAGCAUCUGUGCCAGGCUGUGCCUGUUGCCCUGGUGGUAUCCAAGUGUGGUAAGAGCGAGGCAUGCACCCUAGGGAUGAAAGGCUGCCAUUGAAGGGCUAGUGUUAACCUUUCUGGGAGCUGCCUGGUGCUCCUGCCCCACGGGGACCCCAUGUGCCACCUUCCUGCUCGCAGCACUGGCUGGCCAGCGGGCAGAGGUGUCUCCUCCUAUGUGACAGGGGUUGGGGCAUGUUGUCCCCACUUCACUCCCAGCUCCUGCUGGAAUGAGAGGCUGGGGCAACAGAACUCUGCACACAGGCCCCAGCUGGGCUCUUGAUGGGAGAUUUCCCACACACACCCCUCUUGCCCAUGCUUUGCUCACGUGUUCCUUGUGCCAAGGAUGGCAAAAAGUCACCAGACUGCCGGUGUGGCAGUGGGCUGCUGGGGAAAGAUUGUCUCAUGUGACUUCAGUGGUGCUUUGCUAUAAGAGAAGGCAAAGCAGCUGGGCAAGCCAGCUCACCCCGCUCCGUGGGGUAGAAGUUGAGGCAAGAGUGACAGCCAUUCCGAGACUAUCCGCAGUGAUUUAUUUGAACUCUUAGCCAUGUGCCAUCAACAGUAAUAAGGUCAAGAAAGAAAAAUGGAUUUCCUAGGUGAUAUAAUAGACUUUCAAACAAAUGUAUGGAUGCAGCUGACCUGAGCUUCCAUUAACAUUUGAUUAACGUCUAAAUAAUAAACAAUGCUUCAGAAACUGACCAGCAUUCUCCCCCAAAAGCCAGAGGAUCAGUCAACUGCAGAUAUUAAGAUCUAUUGAUGCGCUUCUUUGCAAUACACAGGAAAUCCCCCAAAUGGAAGGGCAGACCUCAGCUCCAGCUCCACUAGCAAUCAGCCACCCCAUGCCUUUCAGGGCACUAGUUUUUAUAGCCAUUCUGGCAUGGGAAGGGCAUGCGGGAGGCUCCGGGGUUGUGGGUAGCACUCAGAAAAGGCACAGGGGAGAGAGUGAAGCUGGUGUCUGAGAAGACCUGGGGGCAGAGACUGCAGCAGGAAAACACAGCAGUGCCUGUGGACUCCUGGCUCUGACUUGUGCAGGUUCUGGCUAACGCUGGGCCUUGGCCUGAUGACUACAAGCUCUGACACACCGUGUCUUUAGUGGUCUCGCACACCAGGCAAUGAAAGGGCCUUUGCUGUGGGAGAACUAGCUGCACGGCAGUCAUUCCUCUCGAUAGCGCCCUUUCCUCCCACACCCAGCCGUUGUGCUUUGUGAAUGAUGAGCAAGAUCCGCCUUCCAUACACACUGCCCGCGGGGCCCUUCUCUCUCCCCUGCCCCCAUGCAGCACACUAGCUAUCCAGCCUUCUGGAGUUUAAUCUAGAAGAGGUAUGUGUUUAAUCACACUGGUGUUUUUAACAUGUUAUGUUUUAUUAUAUGCACUAGCUCAUGCCACAUGGCUUUCAAACGCGGCCUGGGAAGAGAGACCAUGCAUGAGAAACAUGAGAGCAAAAGGGGUUAAAACCCACAGGAAUUGCUAUAAAUAAUGUACCCAGCUAAUUUUAAACUUGUUACACUCAGCGGUCCUUGGGCCAGUGAAGAGCAAAGUGACCUAGACACAUCUUCUUGAUUAAUCCUCAGAAUAGCCCUGUGAGGCAGGAGCAUGCAGUCCCGAUAUACAGAUGGGGAAAUCAAGGCACAGAGAGUUGAUGCGACUUUCCCCGGGUUGCAUGAUGAGUCAGGGGCAGAGCUGGGAAUAGCACCCAGCAGUCCUGACUCCCACACCUCUUCUCUAACCACUAGAGAACACUGCUCAGUGAAAGGACAAGAUUGGAAAGGUGAGACACAUGCAAUAGGAGUGUGAGCAAAUUAAUCUGCAGUAUCCUUAACGUUCCUGAAUACCUCUCUUCCUCCCCACCGGCUAGAGAGGAAUGAGCGCUGAAAACUGCAACCAGACAAUUGUUUCUUACAGACCUAUUGUGGAAGGCACCUGUACAGUUACCCAGCAUGUGCAUUGGUUUCAAUAUGGCCCCUGGGCAUCACCCUUAUUUGCAAGAAGAACUACAUCUUUGAUGCUAACUCAAAUAAUGGACGGUGUGAUCAAGGUCAAAAAACUCAUCAGUUCAGGUCCCAGCCUCUGUGCACACACUGGCAUCUCAAUGCCAUGAUUCACAUUCGGCAAUCUCAGGUGGUUCCCCUUUGGUUUAGAGUAAACUGGGACCUUCAGCCAAGCAGGAGUGCCCAGAGGGAGUCACCCUGACCUGGUGAAGCAGUAAGCAGAGAGCAUAGCUAGGGGCAUGCCCCAGGAGGUAAGAAAGGAGAAUGGGAGCUCAGUUAGUGUUUCCAAUCUUCAAUGCACAAAAGCAAAAAUGCAAACGGUAUGAAGGUGCCCAACCUUACUGCCUUCCAAGGGGUUAGACACAGAACUAGCUCCAUAUGGACUGGCUUCUUUAUUCAUAACUUGUUCUUGAGCCCAGCACUGGGGGGAUGCGGUAAGCCCAGCCCUGAGUGCAGAGAUGCUGGUGGAAUGCUAAGAACAAAAGAGAAUACUGCUUCCUAUUGUUGUAAGGACACGGCUGAGCUGCAGAAAGCGCAUAGUAGGGGAGGUCAAGACCAGUGUAUGCUCAUCAGAAUUUCAUGACAUCUUGGGAAAUGGGGUGCAACACAGUUUGCAUCCUUUCAGCUCCCUCCCCCUCCAUGUGGGAAAUAGUCAUGGUAAAGUAGCCUUCUUGAGAGUCAGUUAAAAGCAAAACAGACUUCUGGCUUAGUUAAGGGUCAUUAAAAAUCAAACCGAGAUACACCAAACAGGCUGAGCGAAAGCUGAGCACAAAGGGGGUUUGCAGAAUCCCAGAUACUGCAGCUGCAUUGAAACCUACUUCAGAAUAGCACUACGUGCUGGAGGGGUUUUUAUAAUUAUUCCAUUUUCAGGCGCUCCAGCCCCCUAAAAUCAAUAUCCAGGAAUUAUACUGUUGCUGGAAACAUCAGCUCUUGACUGCUUACCUUCAAUGUCAGUAUUUUAUUAGCUAGCAUAUAAUUACCCUGUGGAACUCCCUGCUGCAGGAGAUUAUUGACAAUAAUAGAUUGUCUAAAAAUUUUAUUUUAAAAUGUUACUACUCACACGAACAACAUUUGCAAUUACAUGAAUUCUGCUUUCAGGACCUCACACUGCAAAACCUUCAGUGUGCAAGAUGGCAAUUUUAGUAGCUGGGGAAAGGAAUAUGCUCCAAUAUUACUGUGAUAGGUAUCCUAGACAGAUAUUAUCCUGCUAUGGUCACUGUAUUCUCUCACUGUUCCAGUCUGUCCUCAAGACCUCACCUGUGAAUCUACAAGAAAUUAGCCAGCUAAUAAUCACUAGGAAGCAGGGAUGGUUUAUGCAAAGCAUACUGGCCAUCACCCUGCAGGAAUGGUACAUCCUCUUCCACGCACCCUCUGCUCAUUAUUUGUCUUCCACACCAAGCCAGUCAAGCUGCUGCAAUUGUGUGCCAAACAUUAAUGUGCUAAACACAAUUACAAUGCAUCAACCUUUCCAAGGAGCUUCCUGACCAAAUACACAAAGAUGCACUGGCUGCACAGCCAGAACCUUUGAACAUCACAUGCUGACCAAAGUGUGCACAGGAUCUGAGGGAACAAUUGUAAAUGUCUAUACAAUAUUGAGAGGCAUAUCUUACAAGACUGCUCUAGCACAAAGAGAAUGUGCUGUAGAAAGCACAGUAAAUGGACACCCCGAGACAUGGCGUCUGAACUCCAAGCUGCCAGAGCAGAUGUGUUGGCUGUCGGUCUGUUGCCAGUCACCUCGUUAGUGUUUACAAAAUGGCCUUUGACGUUAAUUUCAAAUAUGUAUGAAGAAAACAGAAAAUCGAUCUUUGUGGAGAGUAGUUUCUUUAAGAUUCUGCUUGUGGAACAUGAAGGAGUAUCUGAUGCAAAGCAGUUGGCAGGGUGGCCGUAUUGUGAGGUUGGCACAAUGAAUGUAUUUAACAGGGGGGUGAAUGCUCAAUUCAGAAAGUUAACUAAGUUGUAGUUACCGCUGAAGUGUGCGAGCCUUCGCUAUUCCCUGGGGGUAAGCCUGUUCCUCCCACAGUGUGUGCAGCUAUCCGGCUCGAGAACUGCAAAGGCCCCUCCGCAAGGCAAAGACCUAACAGCAGGGAAUAUAUUACAAGGAAGACAGGAGUGCCACAGAAAGGGCAGUCGACACCAUGCUUCCUUCUGGAUGCCCCUGGCUCACAGAUGGUGGGGCCUGGACAUUUCACCAGGGUGCCUCCAUUUCUGGGUGCCCAGCCGGAGAUGCCUUAGGUCUGAUUUUCAGAGGUGUGAGGACCUGAAGCUCCAAUGGACUUAGUUAUGGGUACUCAGCACCUUGCACUGGGGAUAUGGAAACAAACAAACUAAAUGGUGGUGAUAUUUUUUCUGUAGCCUUCAUGUGUCACCACCUAGGAUGCACUCAGUGCUCUAGGAAUGCAGCUUGAGGCCUGCACUUCGCAAGAGUUUGUGCAAAAUAACACAGCCUCCCCAAGGAGUGCCAUGAGUGAUCUCAGCCUCCAGCAAGCUCAAAAUGCCAGGGCCAGGUUCAAAGAACAGGGCCAAAUGAGUUAUAUUCUCUCACUGAUUUCAGAUUGCUGAAGUCAAAUCAGCUAAAAUAGUGGAGGAUUGUAGCAGGUCUGUGAGAAAGAAAGAAAAUAACCCAUGCUAUAAAGUAAUUCCUUAAGUUGGAAAUUCACCCCAGUGCCAGGCCCAGACACCACUUAAGCCCUCCAGAGAGGCCUUAAGUGAGACUGAAGGAUACAUCAGCCUUCUGUGGGCCCCAUGCAAUGGUUGAAUUUCACCCCAAUGAAAAACAACUGAUUCAGUGGGCCAUUAUUGACCAGAAAGAGUGCUCAGCUUGGAGUGAGCAGCCUUGUGUUAGCUCUUGAGCUGGAGGAACCACGGGGGUCUUUUGAUUGCUUUAGUAAUCAGGAUAAAACAUGAACCAAAACAACUCCUCAGUGCAGGUCAAACGGUUAAGGCCUCUGAGCUUUGGCAAUAAUCGCUUGAAAACCACUGGUGCUGCACAGCAUCCAUUCUCACCUCAUUACAGAUUUGCUUAUAAAUCCUUAUACUUUGUAACUUUUACUUUGCCUGUAUUGAAAUUGUGUCUUGUGGCUGGCUCUGAGGCUCAAUGACUACUCCUAAUGGAGCUGUAAAAGGGAUAUAGAUAUUAGGCCCUGUCACAGCUCAAUGUAAGGCUGUGUCAACAAGAAUAAGACCACCCAUUAGUUCAGACCUCAGUUCUGUCCUGUCUUAGCAACGAGAUCUUAUCAGGUUUGAUUUUAAGUAGUUAAUGAAUAGCAUACAUGUUAGAAUAAACCUAAAUGCACUUGUGAUAACAACAGCCUUUCAGGCUGUAUGGGGAGCUAACACACUGUAAAUAAAAGGCAAGAAAAGCCAUUAUCUUGCAAUGUCUGGUUCUUACUCAGCCAAAGCACCAUGAAAUCAUUAUUUUUAAUUAUUGGAUCUCACCCUAGAAUGCCAGCCUUAAUAAUUAUUUAUAAUGAUUUGUGAGUGCACAUUACAGUUUCGUAGACAGUUCAAGUUGUCACAGGCAGCUGCAGCCAGGUUUGGUUUCUUUUUGCUGGGCACUUAUUUCUCCCCAAGCUAUCUCACUGGCUGACUUUAUUGUUAGACUGACUCAAAGGCCUUUGUUUGGUGAGGAAAAGCUCUAGUAUCUUUUGAUUCUGUUACUUAACGAUCCCUGGGAUUCACCCCAGGGGUUCUUAGAGCAGCCACUUUGGGCCAAGCUGUGUUGAGAUGGGGUAUUCAGGCUGUGGUAGCAAUCUGAAAAAUAAAAAAUGGUCCCUAAGGACAAAUGGAAGGACAGUGGGACCUCCAGCAAGGAGGGGGAAGGUUUCACUGAAUAGUUAGUAUAGCUGAGCUGGAUUCAUUUUUUCCAAAGCCUUUUUGGAUCCAUACUCAGGGCUCUCCAAGUCUCAUAUAUUCUGAGGUGGAGUUAACUUCCAUUUGUCUUUGGGCUAAUUCAAAACGCCAGCCAAUAGCACAUGAGCGAGUCUAAGUAAGUGGUCACAGCAGCGGUGUCUGUAAAACUGACCACCCCUCUGAAAGUCAGACAGCUUUCUUCCUCCCGCCCUGGUGAAUUCCACUGAUUUUGAUUAUUGGGUUCAUAUUUGAUCAAAACUUAGUGUUUAUUUAUUUUUAAAGGUCAGUGGUGUUUUCCUCAGGGGAAUUCAUUUGAAAGAAGCUCUUCUUUCUUUCUUUUUUUCUUUCUUUCUCUCUCUCUUUCUUUUGGUUAUUAAAUGGCAAAAUGUUAUCAGACCCUAAACUGAAGAAUAGAGCUUCAAACAUAAAAGUAUGUUUUAUGAAAAAAAAUAAAAUAAUUUUCUUGA
Molecule: long non-coding RNA, 10311 nt
Organism: Dermochelys coriacea (leatherback sea turtle)
Lineage: Eukaryota; Metazoa; Chordata; Testudines; Dermochelyidae
Exons: 2
Source: RefSeq, a predicted model, not a curated record